UGGGGAAUUUUGGACAAUGGGCGAAAGCCUGAUCCAGCAAUGCCGCGUGUGUGAAGAAGGCCUUCGGGUUGUAAAGCACUUUUGUCCGGAAAGAAAUCCUUGGCUCUAAUACAGUCGGGGGAUGACGGUACCGGAAGAAUAAGCACCGGCUAACUACGUGCCAGCAGCCGCGGUAAUACGUAGGGUGCAAGCGUUAAUCGGAAUUACUGGGCGUAAAGCGUGCGCAGGCGGUUUGCUAAGACCGAUGUGAAAUCCCCGGGCUCAACCUGGGAACUGCAUUGGUGACUGGCAGGCUAGAGUAUGGCAGAGGGGGGUAGAAUUCCACGUGUAGCAGUGAAAUGCGUAGAGAUGUGGAGGAAUACCGAUGGCGAAGGCAGCCACCUGGGCCAAUACUGACGCUCAUGCACGAAAAGCGUGGGGGAGCAAAACAGGAUUAGAUACCCUGGUAGUCCACGCCCUAAAACGAUGUCAACUAGUUGUUGGGGAUUCAUUUCCUUAGUAACGUAGCUAACGCGUGAAGUUGACCGCCUGGGGAGUACGGUCGCAAGAUUAAAACUUAAA
Molecule: ribosomal RNA, 561 nt
Filed under: uncultured bacterium
Lineage: Bacteria
Description: partial 16S ribosomal RNA
Rfam family: Bacterial small subunit ribosomal RNA
Source: RNAcentral